Molecule: ribosomal RNA, 546 nt
Filed under: Fusarium sp. Fs323TNPB-L
Lineage: Eukaryota; Fungi; Ascomycota; Sordariomycetes; Hypocreales; Nectriaceae
Description: eukaryotic LSU rRNA
Rfam family: 5.8S ribosomal RNA (bases 179-332)
Source: RNAcentral
UCCGUAGGUGAACCUGCGGAGGGAGGAUAACCGAGUUUACAACUCCCAAACCCCUGUGAACAUACCAAUUGUUGCCUCGGCGGAUCAGCCCGCUCCCGGUAAAACGGGACGGCCCGCCAGAGGACCCCUAAACUCUGUUUCUAUAUGUAACUUCUGAGUAAAACCAUAAAUAAAUCAAAACUUUCAACAACGGAUCUCUUGGUUCUGGCAUCGAUGAAGAACGCAGCAAAAUGCGAUAAGUAAUGUGAAUUGCAGAAUUCAGUGAAUCAUCGAAUCUUUGAACGCACAUUGCGCCCGCCAGUAUUCUGGCGGGCAUGCCUGUUCGAGCGUCAUUUCAACCCUCAAGCCCAGCUUGGUGUUGGGACUCGCGAGUCAAAUCGCGUUCCCCAAAUUGAUUGGCGGUCACGUCGAGCUUCCAUAGCGUAGUAGUAAAACCCUCGUUACUGGUAAUCGUCGCGGCCACGCCGUUAAACCCCAACUUCUGAAUGUUGACCUCGGAUCAGGUAGGAAUACCCGCUGAACUUAAGCAUAUCAAUAAGCGGAGGA